This 6431-nucleotide long non-coding RNA is filed under the name Taeniopygia guttata (zebra finch). Its description in RNAcentral is "lncRNA (ENSTGUG00000022885.1)". The record is from RNAcentral. Lineage: Eukaryota; Metazoa; Chordata; Aves; Passeriformes; Estrildidae.
UUUAUUAUAAAAAAAUCUGUUCAAGGUCUUUGACUUUAUCUACAUAUACAACAGCUUCAACUCAGCUCUCCUUGAAUCGGAGGGCACAAUGCCAACAAGUUCCAUGGCUUGGCUCAAUUUGAAGACAACACUGUACUUGCAGAUGAUUCUUUUAGCCUGGUGUGAGUCUAUGUAACCAUGUCUGAAAAGAGUCCCUAGUGCUCCACAGGGAAGAUUGUGGUCAGCAUCUUGGAUUUUCAAGAUGACUUCACCUUCUACUGUGAGAGCAAAUACUAGGCUUCAAAUGGAACUCCCACAAGAUCUGAUACUCAUGGAUCUCACCUCACUGUGCUUGAAUACAAGAUUCUUCAGAAGAUCAACAGAUCUUAUCUUGGUAUCCUGUUCAAACGAGCUGAGAUACCACUUGUCAUGCUGAGGACAGAGUAAGAACCUGUAUUUACUGUAUUUAAGCAUCACAUGAAGUUGGAGGCUGUGCAGGUACAAGUAAUUGGCAGGAACAGGAGAGGUAAGGGAUUGUGAGCAGAGGUUAGGAGCAAAAACAGGAGCUCUCCCUGGAAAGUGGAAAGGCACAGCACCAGACAGCCUUUAGAGGUCAAUUGAAACAAUGCAUUGGAAUGAAGAAGCAGAGACAAAAAUGAACAGAAGGUAAGAGGAUGAACACAGAAAAAUCCCUACUCCAGAAAAAAAAAAAAAAAAGAAAAAAGAGAGAAAGAGGGAGAGACAGGGAGAGAGAAGCAAGGAAGAAGGGUUUGUCAGCACUUUAUUCAGUUUCUGUGAUUGAAAACAGAAGCACUGUUUCUCCAGCUGCAAAAUCCAUCAAUGUGGCAUGUGUAUCCAUCUCCCUCUAGUGCCAAGGAGACGACAGUAUUGCCAUCACCUAGAGUGUGAGCCCAGCUGCUGGAAGCGUGCCUAAUAAAGCACCCACCACUGCUGAUGACCCAGCCAGGGCUUUCACUCAGGGGCACCCCUCCUCUCCCGUUGCUGACUUGUUCAAAAUAGUGUAUGGCAAUGUUUUCAAAUUGUUAGAAGAAGCCUACAUUUGCAAAAUCAAGACUGAAAAAGUAAAUUCAAAUUGCUUGUGAAACCGUACUCCAUCCUCCUGAAUAUGAUCAUAAACUCUUUUAAUGACCUGAUUACAAACUCCUGUAGUUUCCCCUCAAGACUCCCUGCCUUACUUGGGGCAAAGAAUAGCCUGUGUGUGCUGUGGGAAUUUGUUAUUACUGUACAAUGGAGGAGGCUGCUGUCAGCUGAGGCUCAGCAGCUUUUCUUGCAGCACCAUUAUUGCAGAAUCUGAACUGAAAUAGAUCUGCAGUGCCAGAAACAAUGCUCUUACAGUGAAAUUGGUUGAAUGACAACUUACAAAGUGUGGGCAAGCCACGUAGAUUGAAUUGGCAUUAUUCCAGAUUGGUAUUGUCCCAGAAAAAGGCUGCUACUAACAGUGUUAAAUGGAGUAAAAGGUUAUAGUUUUUCACAGUGGCAAGCACAAUAUCUGGGAAAGGGUAGUUUGCAGAAGUCAGAAGGCUCUCACAGUUGCAAUCUUGGUCACAACAGGUUGUGUCUCACACUUCCAGAAUGAUGUACAGUGCUGUAAACACUAAAAAAUCAAUCUGUGCACACUUGAAGUGCAGGAAUCUUUCACUGACUCUAAUCUAGGUGUUUUCAUUCCUCCUUUGUAAGAAGAAAUGGUGAUAAUAAUGCCUUCCUUUUUUUUUGACACAUCUUUGAAGAUUUUAAUCAGUGUUUGUAGAGCUAAAAAAUACUGUCCUUGAGAACAUGAGGGAAUCCCGCUGAAAAUUAAUAAAUUCAGUGUUCUACACUAAAUUGAGCAGCACACAGUAAAGUGAUGGAGAAGCCUACACAUGACAGGAAAAGGAUAAAUAGAGAGGAUAUUGAAGAUCAAGCUUUAGUAAGCACCAAAUAAGGCAGAGAUCUCGUAGCAAAAGUAACAUGACAUUUCCAGUGGUGGGACCCAUCUUACAAGAGACUCACUCGCAAGUCUCUCUCAAACAUGGAGCUAGACAUGCUCUGAGGGAGACAGGCCUCCCUUCUCUCAGAUGCCUGACUUAGUUUUGGAUGAAUCACACCAUGAAGUGCUUUUCUUCUUCUGCCUAUUGGUACAGCUAAUGAGCCUAUCUGGCCAUUUCAGAUUCAUUGCCUAACUUUCACACAGUAAAAAUGAGACUAAUCCUACCUCUAUGGCAUAUACAGAAGCAGUCUGGAUCCAGUUUGCACCUGCAAUAUUAACUUUAAUGCCUUCUAAUUAAUGUCAGAAGCAUGCUUGGAUUUGCAGUCCUGACCAUUACACAGUAGGUUUUGGACUUUCGCUUUCAGCUAAAAAUGUAUUUCUAAUAACAAAAACAUGAUAUAGGUUUGGAAACAAAGGUAAUUCUGUGAUUUCAUUCACCUGCCCAUAAAUGACUAAGAAAGCACACAUAAGACAAUCACAUUUAUAAAUCUAUGUCCUAUCUAUACUAUCUAUAUUAAUAUUUCUAUGUAGUUUUUUUUUUUGGCUGGGUUUUUUGUUUUUUCGGUGGAAUAACUUUCUUACAUCUUUUGUAGAAACAAAGGCAUUUCAUUCAAAACCUAAAAUUUCACUUUUGCUAGAAAGCACUUGCAAGUCAUAAUCUCAGACAUAAUUUUAUUUGCAGACAGGACACUAUUGUAAGGUAUGGGUAUGUGACAUGUGCAGUUCUUCACUUCAUAUUAAUACAGGCACACAAGGAAAUAUAUGCUCCUUUUUUAUCACAGGUCUGCUGAUAAAAGCAGCCUGGCUCAGGGGGAAAAAUGGAGACAACUCUCUUCAAUAAAUGCAUGGUCUAAAAAGUAUCAAUUCCUGUAAUGACAAAAAAGGACCCCACUGAAGCCAGUGUUACUAUUGUGCAUAAAUCUUCAAUCUUUCCCAGUAGGCUAGGAGAGAGGAGGGUGAGUCAGUAGUUUGGUUUUGCUUGGGCUUGUUAUCAACUGUUGUCCUUAUGAGAUUGUGAUUUUGAAAGUACAAGUUGUCAUUCUUCCUGUGCUCUCUCUCUCUUUCUCUGCCUGCGGGGGUAGCAGAAAUGUUGCAAGAUGAAGCACUCCACAUCUCACCGGAGAUAAGAGCAUCUUCAUCAAAGGAAGACAUAGCCACAGCUAUCUGCAAGUAAUCUCAUGAGCCAAGAAUGCAAAACUUCAAGUAGCGUGGGAAUGGUCCCAUUCCAGUCACAGCGGAAACAGUGCAACACACGCCCGCACAUAACCAUAGACUUUUACUAAGAGGGAAAAAUGGAAAUCUAGUGGAAAAAAUAAAGGUCUUGUUUGUGCAGGUGACCUCACAGUGAAGUGUCCAAAGUUCUUUCUUUACUAGCAUCUUAGUAGCAAUGAAAAGUAAUUGGCCAUGCACCUGUAACAGACAAAUGUUUACUUCCAAAUAUUCAAGUAUCUGUUGGUGCCUUGGAACAUAACUCGAUGCAGUAGAUGGCUGUGGUCACUACAGCAUGAGCAGGGGGUUGCACAUCUAUUUAGGAACAAUGCAGCUCCUGGGAGCAAAACAAAAAGUAUGAUGACAGACAAGGAAGGGAUACUCUAACCAGGAGGAACAGAGCACCGUCUCCACUGUGCAGCAUUGUCUAGGAACUCAACACAACUGGGAGGGCAACCAAAGAUGUAAGAGCAAGUUGUCAUUCCUGGUGAAAUGGUACACACUGGUAGUGUAUCCGACUAAUCUGCCACAAAACACCAGUGUCAUAUAGAAGUGACUACAGAGGCAUUGCAUGUGGCUCCUGACCGUGCUGCUGUGGCACCUGGACUGGCAGGUGUUGCUCCUCUACUUCUGGGAUCUUGAGUCCCCUUAGUCCUGCUACAUCACCCUGUACAGUCUCUGCAUCCCUAAUCUGCGUAGUUGUCACACUCUAAGACACUGAACAUGUGAGCUCUGCACAGCCUUCUGAGGGUGUAUGGAUAGGGCGGACCCUCUCGCCCACACUCCAAGUUAGGCGAAAGCAAGCUAGUUCAGAUCUGAAAGUCAUGUAUUUGCACAGAUUUAAAAACUUGGGUACAGCCCUGGGCCACUCCAGCUACACAGAUUCCAGAAGUGGGUGGCAUCCUGUUGGCUUGGAAAAUGAGUGAGGCAAAUGUGUGUCUGUCUGUACCUGUCCUGGUCAAUACAUAUGAGUCAACAGCAUCAUUAUUAGGAAAAUAAGAUUAGGGCAGGGACUUGGAAGGUCCACCUACAACAUCCAAUCUGGUCUCUCUCAUUGUGGAUAUCAACUGUGUGUGGGAUUGCAUCCCCAAAUUUAUCAAGCUCCACCUGAAGAUAAUCUAGAAUGUGUUUGCAUACCCUGUUCCUAAUAGGACAGUACAUAAUGGGACAGAGCUUCCUGAUCUGAUGGUUAGGAGCUUUCUAAUUCCAAUUCUAGAUUACUAACAUUUAAUUAUAUGCAUCUUCUUUCUACCACCAGUAUCAAUUCAAAUUGCUUUUCCCACUCAAGGUGUUGGAUAUCCAAGAUGUUUUUAGACAACAGUGGUGUCCCCGAUCCGUCUGCCUCUGACAGCUCCACCUGCCAUCCCUACUCUGAUAGUUUGCAACUUCUGAUCCACUUCUCACUCUCUUGCCUUUGGCUGAGGAGCUAAUAUUAUGCUCACUUGACCCUCUGAUGAAACUCGUUGAUACAGAGGUGAAUCUCAAAUUUGCUUCCAUCUGUUCUCUCCUUCACCUGGAGGUCAUUUUGUUUCCUGUUCUAUGCCAGUAUCACAUAAGGCUUCAUUGCUCUGUCUGAGACUCCACCUCUUAGCUAUCUCAACUAUAUCUCCCUCUCCUCUGUUGCAACAGUCUUCCCUAAUUUUGUCUUUUGUCAUUCCAUCAUCUGCCUGAUUUUUCAUAUCCCUUUCCAUUACUGCAAUUUAAUUUCUCAUUUUUUUCUUCUCUAUCAGUUAGUCUUUUUUUGUUUUAAUUUUGCAACUCCAUCCUUCUUCCUCUCUUACACUUCAGGUAAGUUUCCUAGAUCCUAGCCUUAAAGAAAGGAUGAAAAUUCUCAGAUCUCCUCCUACAAAUUGCUACACAAACCACCCUUGCUGUUGUUUGUUUUGGGUAGGUAGAGAAUUCUUGCAAGAGUAAUUUUUCCUUUGGUCUUACCUGAAACAGUCUUUCACAAGAAGCUGAAUGUGUGCAGUCGCAGGCAGUAACUUUGACAAUACAUUUGAAACCACCAGUAGGUCUUGUACCACCUCCUGGCACAUUUGAAGGAAAACAACCUUAGGCAUUCUUCUACUGCAAUGUAAAUCAUUCUGGUAUCUUCAGACCUGAGCAAAACCACUCCUGUUUUCUAUCUCAUCCUACUUCUUGCUAUCACCUUUUCGGCAUGCUAAGGAAAGUGUACUAGGAAAGCAUACUUCUUUCUUUCCACUAAUCUCAUUUCUGGGUGAUGUGAGAAGCCUAUCAGGAAGACAGAGAAAGAUGUUAGAUAGCUUAAGUGUUCACACAGUCACCAUAUGCCUAGGAAAUACACUUUGUUCUGCUGACCUCCAGAAUAUUUUGACCUCUCUAGCUAACUUGCUUCUACUGUGCUGCCUGAGAUCCCUCUUUCAAAGGAAACUGUUUUCAUUCAUUAAUCUGAGUUAGUUUGGACCAAUGGUUUUGCAUUUUGGAAUAUGUUUUAGUUUACUGAGGUCUCUUCAAAAGAAAGCAGUACAAAUCUACAGUUUAUUAUAUGGGCAGUUUAAGAAAAACAAAAUCAAGCUGUUUGGUGCUUUCUAUAAAAAGGAGAUGAUACAGAAUACCAAGAGUUUGGGCUUUUUUUUUUUUUUGCGGUGGUGGGGAGGGGUAAGGGGGUGGAGGCAGAUGAUUUUUCAAGUUCUGCUUGAUAUUAUAUCCACCUCAGAAAGUAGAUGGAAGAUGCAAAGUCCUGCAAAGGGGCCUGAACUUUGUCCUCUUGGACACAGAUUAGAGGAAAUAAAAAGGGUGGUUGUGCCCACUCUUGCAAACAACUGUAAAUUCUAAGUAGAAUGCAGGGAGACUGCUUGUUUAGGCCCUUACAUUCUCAAAAUAUGACAAUAUCUCCGAAUGUAUUUAUCCUCUUCUUGAGCAGACUUUCACAUCUGAUUGUACAACAAUGAAAGGACCAAAGGUACAAAAAGAAAUAUUCAGGAUUUUGGCUCAGCUGAGUAAGCACCUCUUGACAUUUCUGAUCAAACUGUAAAGAACAACAUAAGGAAAACAGGCUGAUAACAUAUAAAUAAUAUUUCCUAGCUUCAGGCAUAUGGUAACCCACAUUUGAAUUAUGCAGACUAGGAAGACCGUUCCUUUGUAGUGAUCCAAAUACUUCAUACUACUUAUCUGUGGUUUUAAAAGCAUAAGGCACAAUAAGUGAUCAUCUUGAUGGUUAUGAUUUUUCCUCCCUUUCUCACAAAGAUAAGUAAACCACCUCUGCCCCAGACAGAAUCCCAGCAUUAACCCAUGU